UGACUGAAGCUCCUCCUUGACAAACAAAGCAAACAUUGAAGCUUUACAUAGACCUUCCGGGCAACACUCAUCUUGGAGUGUUUUACUCUUGAAGUGAUAAUUCCCUAUGAAAUCCAUUAGGUCGCCUCGAACUCCAGCUUCUUCGAUGGCUUCCCUCACUGCAGCCUCUUUAACAGUUUCAUCAUUCUCCCACCCUCCCUUUGGAAAAAG
RNAcentral lists this unclassified non-coding RNA (210 nucleotides) under Hevea brasiliensis (rubber tree). Lineage: Eukaryota; Viridiplantae; Streptophyta; Magnoliopsida; Malpighiales; Euphorbiaceae. The record is from RNAcentral.